UACGUAGGGUGCAGGCGUUAACCGGAAUUACUGGGCGUAAAGCGUGCGCAGGCGGUUUGUUAAGUCAGGUGUGAAAUCCCCGGGCUUAACCUGGGAACUGCGGUUGUAACUGGCAAGCUUGAGUGUGGCAGAGGGGGGUGGAAUUCCACGUGUAGCAGUGAAAUGCGUAGAGAUGUGGAGGAACACCGAUGGCGAAGGCAGCCCCCUGGGCUAACACUGACGCUCAUGCACGAAAGCGUGGGGAGCAAACAGG
RNAcentral lists this ribosomal RNA (253 nucleotides) under uncultured bacterium. RNAcentral's name for it is "partial 16S ribosomal RNA". It matches the Rfam family "Bacterial small subunit ribosomal RNA", at positions 524 to 776 of the family's 1533-position model. The record is from RNAcentral.